Tupaia belangeri chinensis (Chinese tree shrew) is the source of this 289-nucleotide long non-coding RNA. RefSeq lists it as uncharacterized. The transcript has 3 exons. Lineage: Eukaryota; Metazoa; Chordata; Mammalia; Scandentia; Tupaiidae. The record is from RefSeq and is a predicted model, not a curated record.
CGCGCGGCCAACGCCCGCAGCCCUAGGCAGGGGGGAUUUAAGAGACACUAGGGGUGAUCUGGGAUGCGCGCCUCCUCCUGGUGGAAAUUAACGAGGAAAGUGCUGGGAAAGGUACCAGGAGUUAAAACUCCAACAUCUCUUUUUAGGGAAGAAAAUUCAACCUCCAACAAUCUCCAAGAUAAAUGAGGUGAAAAAAGCAAUAUGCAGGACUGAAAACAGCGAACUGAAAGAGCUGAAAGCGAUGUCUUCUGGGGAGAAGAAAUUAAGAAUGAAAACAGAAUAUUCAGGA